RNAcentral lists this long non-coding RNA (649 nucleotides) under Homo sapiens (human). RNAcentral describes it as "HSALNT0373165". Lineage: Eukaryota; Metazoa; Chordata; Mammalia; Primates; Hominidae. The record is from RNAcentral.
AAAAGUAGUAGUAACCACACCACGUAUUGCAUAGGGGUGUUGUGAGGGUUAAAUUAGGUAACGUGUGUGAUAUUUGUAGAUCAGCACCUAACACUUCGUAAGCCCUCAAUUAAACAUUAAUCAUUAUCUGAGUGUUGCUACAAUUUUGUAAUUUCAAGGUACUGUGGGUCUCAGAUCUGCCCACGAGAGGGCACUGGUGACACAGCUUUGCCUCAAAAGGUUUCCAGUUGAAAGACCAGGCAGCUUUGCUUGUGUCUAAGGAACUAAGGGUCCGAUUUCUCAUGAGCUGCUGAACCACAGAUUUUAGAGCUGAAAGACACCCUGCAAGUGAUCUAAUCCAGUCAUCAGAUGUUGCAGUUAUAAGCCAUAGGCGGGUAAAUGUGGACCUGGGAAAAUGCAGACCAACACCUUGCUGGAGUGCAAAGAGCCCCUAGCCAAUUCCUAGGCCUUUGAGAAAACCUGGAAAAAUUAACACUUGAAAUAAAUUUUGAAGAACAAGGAAAAGUUAUUGACCUAAAGGCUGACAGGGAGGAAUUCUGGAAGGAAGGAACAGCUCACUUGCUUGGAGCAAGAAGGAGAACAGACAUAAAACAUAACUGGAAGCUGUGAUGCUCCAAAAAUAUCACAGGAUCGGAUGACACGAAAACCU